AUGCGGGUGAGGAGCUCACAUUGGUUUUCAUGUAGCCGAGGCGGAGUUUGCCGAAGACAGCCGGCGCGGCUCGGCGCUCGCGGAGCGCACCGGCGCACCCGCUGGGUGUUGCCUUCGAGCCCCCGGGUGCUCGAAGGGGGUUCCCGGCCGGUCAGGCUCGACCGGCCAGGCGGCGAGGCGUCUUGCAGCGCCCUUUUUUUCUUCUGCCGCCUGCUGGCAGCCGGACAAAACUCUUCUCUUGUCUGCAAUAUUCCGUGGAGGCGCGCCAGCGCACCCACUGGGUGUAGCCCCCGAGAUUCGGGCCGACUGUUGAGCAGUCGGGCCGGAUCUUCCGGCAGCUACUUUAUCUUCUUUCCUCGCGGAGGCGCGGCAGCGCACCCGCUGGGUGUAGCCCCUGAGAUUCGGGCCAACUGCUGA
This 417-nucleotide ribosomal RNA is filed under the name Triticum aestivum (bread wheat). RNAcentral's name for it is "partial small subunit ribosomal RNA". Lineage: Eukaryota; Viridiplantae; Streptophyta; Magnoliopsida; Poales; Poaceae. The record is from RNAcentral.